RNAcentral lists this ribosomal RNA (738 nucleotides) under Coprothermobacter sp. enrichment culture. RNAcentral's name for it is "bacterial SSU rRNA". It matches the Rfam family "Bacterial small subunit ribosomal RNA", at positions 28 to 774 of the family's 1533-position model. The record is from RNAcentral. Lineage: Bacteria; Pseudomonadati; Coprothermobacterota; Coprothermobacteria; Coprothermobacterales; Coprothermobacteraceae.
AUCGAGCUCGCUCGGCGAGCUUAAUGCACUCAAGUCGAGCAUCUACAGUAUUCGGACUGUAGCUUAGCGGCGUUCCUCGUGAGUAACACGCAGGUAAUCUACCCACCAGAGGAUGCCAUCCUCUGGAAAGUGAGGCUAAACCUUCAUAUGUUCACGCAGUAGGGGAGUUGAGAAGAAAGAGCUACCCACAACGCAGACAACCAAGGAUGAGCCCUUUACCCAUCAUGUAUUUGAAGAGGUAUCGGCUCAUCAAUCUUAAGACGGGUAACCGCUCGGAGAGGAUGUCCCCUCACACUGGGGGUGAGACACGGCCCAUCCCCCACGGGAGGCAGCAGCAGGGAAUCUUGGGCAUCCUCCAAAGCCUGACCCAGGUCAGCCGUUUGGAGGAAGAAGUCCUUUGGGGAGUAAACUCUUGGACUGGGGGUCGAGGAAGUGUCUGUGUCCCAGUAGAAAGGGACCAGCUAAUCAGCUCCAGCAGCCGCGGUAAAAUUUAGGUCCAUUGCCUUGUUCGGAUCCAGAUAGUGUAAAGGGCCAUCCUCAGGUUGUAUGUGUCUCAUGUGAACAAUCAGGGCUCAACUCUGAGAUUGGGUGGGAAACUAGGCAGUUAGAGGACGGUAGAGGGGAGUGGAAUCAGGUUACCCGCGGUAAAGUGCGUAGUUAUCGGGAGGAACCCCGAAGAGUUAGCCGUUCAUGUGGGCCGAUCGAGUCGCAGAGGUUAGAAACGCAGGGGAGGUAACC